Molecule: long non-coding RNA, 558 nt
Organism: Prionailurus viverrinus (fishing cat)
Lineage: Eukaryota; Metazoa; Chordata; Mammalia; Carnivora; Felidae
Exons: 4
Source: RefSeq, a predicted model, not a curated record
GUGUCGGCAGCUGGUGAGUGUCUUUUGCAAUUCAUCAGAGGCCUCCCAGACCACCUGCUCUCGGCAUCCUGCAAACAGCUGGCUCUGGUUCUAGGAAUGGUGGGAAGCCUUCCAGAACCCAAGUUCCCAGAUGCCAACCCAGGGCCAACCUUGUAAGCCAAGGCUUUCAAAGGAUACCAGUCGCACUUUGGGAGCCUGGAGCAAGACCUGGUACAAUCCGCAGUGCUACCUGGCCAGAUGAUCCAGCAGAGAGUCUGUGGCAGGGGGAAAAAAACACCAUGCACUAAGUUUCCAGGUUGGCAGUGCUGCUGGGCACAACUCAAUUCUGUUGGGCUCCCUGAGUCUUCUCAUUCUAUGUCCUAAGAUGUAGAUGCAGUCACUCUCUGGGGCUUCUUAUGCAAGGGGGCAGAACUCAGUGGAAAAGCCAAACUCAAAGUGUUUCUUAAAAUCCCUGCUCAACUGGGUGUUGUAUGGAAACCAAUUUGACAAUAAAUUUCAUAUAUAAAAAAAUAAAAUAAAAUAAAAUAAAAUCCCUGCUCAAAACUGGCUGCUGUUAUU